GUUCCUACGGGAGGCAGCAGUGAGGAAUAUUGGUCAAUGGCCGAGAGGCUGAACCAGCCAAGUCGCGUGAGGGAUGACGGCCCUACGGGUUGUAAACCUCUUUUGUCGGGGAGCAAAGAGAGUCACGUGUGGCUCAUUGAGAGUACCCGAAGAAAAAGCAUCGGCUAACUCCGUGCCAGCAGCCGCGGUAAUACGUAGGGGGCAAGCGUUAUCCGGAUUUACUGGGUGCAAAGGGAGCGUAGACGGCAGGGCAAGUCUGGAGUGAAAGGCAGGGGCCCAACCCCUGGACUGCUCUGGAAACUGUC
Molecule: ribosomal RNA, 305 nt
Filed under: uncultured bacterium
Lineage: Bacteria
Description: bacterial SSU rRNA
Rfam family: Bacterial small subunit ribosomal RNA
Source: RNAcentral